GUUCGGGUCUGUGGUUGAAAGCCGAAGCCAGUCGCAGGCAAAACGGUCCACGUAAGCUGGGGAAACUUCCAGUGAGCACGGUGCGGUUUAGACGUAAGUCCGGCCGGACGCAAAGUCCGAGAGAGCGGCGUGGGGGUCCAUGGGACUAUGAGCAAUGCUCCAGUCGGCGAGUGUGGGGUCAAAAACCAGGUCAGCCAA
RNAcentral lists this non-coding RNA (198 nucleotides) under bovine gut metagenome. Its description in RNAcentral is "raiA RNA". It matches the Rfam family "raiA RNA". The record is from RNAcentral.